GCCUAGCCAUUAACAACAAUCAACCCAACCUACCAACCAUUCGCCAGAGAACUACAAGCCAAACCUGCUUGAAACUCAAAGGACUUGGCGGUGUCCCAUAUCCCCCUAGAGGAGCCUGUCCUAUAAUCGAUACUCCACGCUAAACCUCACCACCCCAGGCCAAUCCAGUUUAUAUACCGCCGUCACCAGCCUACCCUGUGAAGGCCACCAAAGUAGGCAGAAACGCCUGCACAAAUACGUCAGGUCAAGGUGUAACUAAUGGAGUGGAAGAGAUGGGCUACAUUUUCUAACCUAGAAAACACGGACACUACAAUGAAAUCUUGUACUUAAAGGAGGAUUUAGUAGUAAAAUAACGAAGAAAACUUAUUUUAACCUGGCACUGGGACGCGCACACACCGCCCGUCACCCUCUUCAACAAAUCACCGUUUAACCCUACCAUAUAACACCGAUACUAAUUAAGAAGAGGAAAGUCGUAACAUGGUAAGCGUACUGGAAAGUGCGCUUGGACAAA
Molecule: ribosomal RNA, 511 nt
Filed under: Gerrhosaurus typicus (Karoo plated lizard)
Lineage: Eukaryota; Metazoa; Chordata; Lepidosauria; Squamata; Gerrhosauridae
Description: partial 12S small subunit ribosomal RNA
Rfam family: Bacterial small subunit ribosomal RNA (bases 47-505)
Source: RNAcentral